Long non-coding RNA from Hemibagrus wyckioides, 2345 nucleotides. RefSeq lists it as uncharacterized. The record is from RefSeq and is a predicted model, not a curated record. NCBI's taxonomy places the organism in Eukaryota, Metazoa, Chordata, Actinopteri, Siluriformes, Bagridae. The transcript is spliced from 4 exons.
CCUUAGUCAGCGUUGGGUCUCCCAAGUGGUUUCACAACUUAGAGGAUCUGACAGAGGGUACAGAACUUCUACGCUCUCCAAUCUAACUUUUAGAGAUCACGGACCUUUCUGCAGAACAAGGUCGGACUAUACAUAUCUGGCAGUAGUGUCUAGGAAAUUGAGAUCAAUCAGCAUUAGACAACAGCAAAGUGAUUUUCAGAUGGCGAGUGUUUUAAAACAUCAACGCAAUUUACAUGACAACAAUUUGGGGGCAGCCUACCGCUUUAGUACAUCCGUGACCUAAGCCAAUUCCUCGAAUUACGGAACAAGGAGAAGAAGAAGACAUAGGUCACGUUUUUGACGGAGGAGAAAAUAACGUCGAUCAAGCGGCUACAUACCCUGAGGAGUGUUUCAUCACAUUGAACGGAUUCUUUCGACUAAGAGACGAAAAAUUUGGAAGCUUUGAACGUCUGUUUAUUACACUUGACAACACUUCAGGUAUUGAACAUCUUCAAUCAUUAUAUGAUACUCUUGAUUGUCUGAAUAGCUGUGUUGCUGUGAAUAUAGAGUUGAUAAAAAGAUUUCACAAUAGACAUGGCGCAGAAGCGGGUGAAUCUCACACAGUCUUCAGGGGCUAAGAAAAUACGUGGUGAAAAUAAUCUACCGUCUUGUGAUUUUCAGUUUUGAUGAAACUUUUUCUAGUAGUUUGUCACAUCACAACUCAUGCACAACUCUGAACCCCUAUUUAACAGACGCUAUCGACCGGUUAAACGAGAGUGUAGGACCAUCACAGCAGCUUGUUAGACAGACCCCUAUUACAGAUUAUAGUGACAUCAUUACACCUGAGACACAACAACGCGACAAUCAGUGAACUUAACCAGACUCUGUUAGCAUUACAGAAUAGUCUAAAUGAACAAGGUUACUCUACACAGUCGAAUCCUUCAUUAAUAGAUGCUGUUAACCAGUUGAAUGUUAGUCUAAGAAGUCCUGAGCCGGUUAAUACCCAAUUAGAGCAUUCCAAUCAUAAUUCAAAUCAUAAUGUAUCAAAUACACCACAUACUCAACACGACAUAUUCAGUGAACUUAACCAGAGUCUGCUAGCAUUACAGAAUAGUCUAAAUGAACAAGGUUACUCUACCCCCUUGAAUCCUGAGUUAUUAGAUGCGGUUAAUCAAUUAAAUGAUAGUUUGGCUUUAGCCACAGAUAAAAACAUCAACGAGGUCUCUACUUCAGAAAUCGAGCAUAAUCAUACACCGUUAUCUCCACAUGAUCUGUUUCAUGAUCUUAACCAAAGCCUUAUGUUAAAUGCGGGUUUUGUAAACUUUUUCGAUACCGUUGCUUCACAAAACAUUCAAACUGUAAAUGAACACAGGACUGAAACAGUAAAUGAUCAGUCUCCUAAUGUAGAAGACGUGCAAACAGCUAAUACUGAGAACAUAAACCCCCAAAGCUGUAAUGACGUGCAAAUAUUUGGUGGUGUUAACAUACAACCCCCUAGUGUUGAAAGCAUGCAAUUAGAUAAUGACGAGAACAUAGCCCCUCCUAACGUAGAAAACAUGUGAACAGAUAACGUCGAGAACAUAUCCCCUCCUAACGUAGAACACGUGCAAGCUGGUAAUGGAAUUGAUCCUAAUAUUAGAAUAAUUAAUCGCGACCAAUUCAAUAAUACUGAAAUUAGGAGAAGAGUAAAUUUUUCAUCGAUUGCAGCUGUAGACAGCUUUGCGGAUUUUUAUAAUUAUGUUUUAGAAAUCUUAAACAGUUUGAUAAAAGUGGCUAAUGAAAUGAUUUCACCAAAGGACAUAUUAACGGUUGAAAUUAGAGGUGAUACGAUUGACGUAUAUUCACGUAUUCAUCUAGUUAAUGGGUCCGUUGAUUUACAGUCUUUUCUGACCAUGCUUGAAAAUUCUUUUCAAAGUAAAUGUGAAAUUUUUUCAGAUAACACACUCGAAAUAGUAAUCCAAAUAGUUCGACCACCUCGUGGUGGUUCAUAUAGAAGGAAGAUUAGUACAUUAUUCACUUCGGAAGCUAUACAGAAGAUGAGACAUCUGUAUAUAUUUCAUAAUAAAGACAUGUGUUUUACACUGUGUUACACAACUUUUGAACCCUCAAAAUAAUGACCUUCAAUCUGAAAAAAAAAUCGGUAGACAAAUCUUCCGUGAUGUAGGAUUAACUGAAAACACAGCUGUCACAUUUGCUGAUGUAUCUAAAUUUGAGAAGCAUCUGAAGUGUAAAAUCGUAAUCAUACACCGUUCUGACAACAAAGCCGGCUACUCUUUCUUUCAAACCAGCAGAACCCCCCAUAAAAAAACAAUUUACUUGUUCUUGCAUGACAAUCAUUAUUAUGGAGUUAAAAGCAUUACAGGACU